Molecule: long non-coding RNA, 3654 nt
Organism: Homo sapiens (human)
Lineage: Eukaryota; Metazoa; Chordata; Mammalia; Primates; Hominidae
Source: Ensembl
AUAUCUUCCUGUCACUUAAGAGCUAAUGUCUAGAAACUCUGUUUUAUUCCAAUUGGAGCCACCCUCAAUAUGUAUCUUGUUUUUUAAUAAAAGAAGAUUGUGAAAGGUUCUAAGUAUCAAAAUGUAUCCUUUUGAACUAAGGUGAGAUUAAGCAUAGCCUACUCCUCCAUUAUGACAAAUGUCAUGACAGCAAUCCAGUCUCAGAAGAAAUUGAAACCAGGACCAUCUUCUCAUAUUGCCAGAGGACUCCAGAUUUCCCUGGAUAGUCAAUGAUUGUAGUAUCAGAAGGUAUUGCUAUGGACAUUGUUACAACUAACUUGUGAAGUGGGAAAAGUUCCCUUGUUCCCUCACAGGACGUGCGAUGGGGGUGUGGCUCACUUCCUCAGUGCCCCGCUGCUGGGACCUCUAGGGGAGCAUAUAGAUGUGCAGGCUGUGGGGCUCCGACCCCAAGGCAGUGUCUAGGGGUGAAUGUUUAUGGCUCCUGAAGCCCCAGUGGUUGUGUGUUACAGGGUGCUCUUUUAGUUUGCCUAUAGGCGGCUUGUGUUAGCUCAAUUAGACCCUCUUAUUGUUGCAAGGAGAGAAGGCUUUCUGUAUCCUAGGUUCUUGCCUUGGAGUACUGGAAGAAUCGGAUCACACCUGGGCUUGGAGAAUGAGUGCAAGGUUUUAUUGAGUGGAAGUAGCUCUCAGCAGAUGGGGGACAUAGAAGGGAGAUAGCUUUCCCCUGGAGUUGGCCAUCAGUAGCCCGGGCUCUUCUCUGACUGCCCUGGCCAAACUCCACGUCGUUCUGCCAGUUGGUGGCCUGCUGGUGUGCCCGUGCCUGUCGGUGCUUUCCUCUAGAAGUCCAACCGCCUGUGUGUUCCUCCGCCAAUGUGCUUCUCUCCACGUCCACCUGUCUCUGUGCCUUCUUUCGCGGAUCUGCUCCUCUCAACGUCCAGCCUCUUGUGUAUCUUCCCACUAAGGUCUCAAGUUUUUGUUUUAGUUUUUGUUUUGAGACGGAGUUUCACUCUUGUUGCUUGGAGUACAAUGGUGCAUUCUUGGCUCACUGCAACCUCCGCCUCUUGGGUUCAAGAGAUUCCCCUGCCUAGGCCUCCCGAGUAGCUGGGAUUACAGGCAUGCACCACUACGCCCGGCUAAUGUUUUUGUAUUUUUAGUAGAGAGGGGCUUCACCAUGUUGGCCAGGCUGGUCUCGAACUCCUGACCUCAGGUGAUCCACCCGCCUCAGCCUCCCAAAGUGCCCGUAUCACAGGCACCAGCCACUGCAUCCAGCAGGUCUCAAGUUUUUAUAGGUCCAGGCUAGGGUGGUCUUGGAAAAUGCAACAUUUGGGCUCCAAAGCAGGAGUGCCUGUCCUCACCUGGGUCCAUGGUGUGGAGCCCUAGCCAGGGACCACACUCACCUCCACCCAGUACUUCCCUUUCUCUCUUCCAUAUCAUUUAAAGGGACCACACUCUUCCCUUCCCAGAACUCUGGCAUCACUAGGAUCUAUUUCCCUGUGGCUGUGAUUAUUUAGUCUAAAAGAAUAUAACUUACUUAAGACAAAUGUCAUUUGUCUGAAAGAAUCUUUGGAGGUUUUCAUGGCUCAUGUGAUGCAUCCUAUGUCUUUGAAACCAGAAAACAUUCUGGUCUUUGUUUAACUCAAAAUAAAUGAAUUUGUAAUAUUUUAUGAACUCUAAAAUUAUAGUUGUGCUUUAAGUUGCUUUCCAUCUAUUGUAUCUCUUGUGUAAACACAACUCCAUGACAGCCUGUAUCCUUGGGGUGGGAGUGGGAAAAUAAUGUUGUAAUAGAAGAAAACUUACUAAGGAGAUCUGUGUUUAAUUACAAUAUAUGUGGUUUAUUCUGAAAGAACUUGGAGUUUUCUUUAUUAUUCUAAAUUGUCCAAGACCAGACUGCUUGAAUGCCCUAGUCCAAAUGGCAAAUGUCUCUCUUUCUAUAGUUUAUACACAGAACAGGAAAAAACAGUCAUUCUUCAUCUCCCUUCUUAUUCUUGUUUACAAAAGACUUUAACUAGGUCUUAUGUCUGGGGAUUCCUUUAAAAGUAUUAUUCUAGUUCAGCUAGCUGAGAAUGAAUAGAACAAAGAGAAGUCAUUAUCCCAGGGAGGCUUUAAAGUUUCCUGAAGUCACUUGUAAUGCCAUUUUAAUAGCAUAUAUAGAGAACCAUUCUGGCUAAAAUAUCCUGGGGGUCUUGACCACUAACAUCAUGGAGGAAUGGAGGUUAAACAAGCACAAACACUGGACCAGAGUGAGAAAAACAGGAUACCAGCAAAGUUCCUGCUACUCAUUAUGCUUGGCCAUAGGCAGUACCUUCUCUCUGGAGCUGAGAUUUUUCUGUCCAUAAAUACAGGUUUGAAAGCUCAGAAGUUGUGUCCGGAGUUGUUUCCUUCCGGUGGGUUCAUAGUCUCACUGACUUCAAGAAUGGAGCCACGGACCUUCACGAUAAGUCAUUCCACUUCUUCUGAGGGAGUGAAGAAAGAGGCCAAGUUCAGAAUUGUACCAAUUGACUACCUUGACCUGGACAUAAGCACCAGAAUGGUUGCACUCAACAACAAAGACUGUACUGGGAAUAGAAAGAUGAACAAGACAGUGCACUUCCCUUCAAAGAGCUUACAGAAUCACAACCAGCAGGAUUUGUGCUAGACUUUGGAGAUAUGAAGAUGAUUGAAUCAAGGUCUUUAUCUUUAACUGAGAUGUUCAUAAUAAUAUCACAGAAAAGAAGACAUAUAAAGAUCGUAUACAAAUAAAUACAAUACAAUGUGGUAAAAGAUCUCAGCCUCCAUAACUUUAAAAAUGGUAUAAAUUAUAUCGUUUAAAAAUUGCAAGAAGAAAACUGUUGCAAACAUUUGCAGUCACAUGACCUGAAAGGACCUUUGAAGAUACAACUUUUGGAAUCUUAGUCUCCAUUUUGAAUAUAUACUUUUGCUGUUAUAACCAGUAGAAGAGAAUUUCCAGCAACUUAUACGUUAUUAUUUUUCCAGGUGACUGAGCAUUGAAAGAACUUUACUCAUAAAUGGGUUGUCAACACUAGCAUGGAGUGUCUUAGGCAGCAGUAAGUUCACCAUUCUUGGGUAUUUAAAAAGAAGAUGGAUGAACAUCUGAAAGGAAUCCCGUAAUGAGGUUUUGGCAUUGCUCAACAGAUUAACUUUUAACACUCUUCCAUCUUUGAUCUUUUUUACAUUCCAACUUCAACGUAAAACUUUCUUGAAGCCAAGAAGUAUUAAUUUUAAAAUGGAAAAAACACCAUAUUUAUUUGUGUUACUUAUUUAUAUCACAUGAAUAUACUUUCAGAUAUGUGGAUAUUCAAUACUGUCUACAGUUUGUAACAUAGUAAAGAGGUGUCAUUUUUAAUAAGUCAAAUGUUUUGCUUAAAAGUAUAUGUAAUUUUUUCUAUGAAAUGUUGGUAAAAUGUUGAUCUCACAAUAGAUUUAAUAUUUUAAUGUCAGGUUUCAAAUGAAUUUGAUUUUUAAGAAAUAUAUUUUCACCUUUACUUUAAUAUAGUUAUUUUCUUCUUUUAUGUAAUUAGAAGUAGAACUAUCCAAGAACAUUUAAAAUUAAAUUAGGGAGUUUUUCAACUUGACUGUUAAAUAUUACUGCUACCUCUCCACUGUACUUAGACCUGCACCUUGUGUUAAGAAAAACAUUUUAACAAAUUUAAAAAAUAA